Molecule: long non-coding RNA, 1902 nt
Organism: Oreochromis aureus
Lineage: Eukaryota; Metazoa; Chordata; Actinopteri; Cichliformes; Cichlidae
Source: Ensembl
GUUACAGUUGCCGUACUUCAUCAACUAGCUAGCACUACAGAAGAGGAGCAAGAAAAUCAGAGUGAUGAUCAUGGAGAUAAUGGAGACUAGAAAUGAGCUGCAAAGAUGCGGUGGGAAAUGCGGGAUGGACAAUAAUAAAGAGAGACGACUCCUUCAGCUGCUUUUCCUCAGCUUUGGUGUGCUGUGCAUCAUACAAGCCACUCUCAAUCUUGCUUUACGCCUCACAUUCGAGGGGAAUGACUCACCCCACACAACAGAAUUAUGUGGCAACAACCAGUUAAAACCAGUAAAUUUUGACCAAAAUAGGCCACGUUGUUGUAGCGAACUACAAGAAACAAUCAUUGCUUUGACCAGAGACAGAAGCAUGCUUGAAAAGAGAAAUGAAGAGCUCCUUGACAUCAUAAAGAGUCUUGAGGAGGAGAAGAAGAGGCAGAAUGGUUUCAUCUCAUAGUAUAAUUAGAAAAAUGGCGCCAUGCCUGGAAUUAAAUCUGCCUGUGGUUUCUUCUUGUUAAUUUCCUGUCUCUUGUUUAAGUGCUUGCUCAUAUGAAACAGUUGGGUUUCUCUCUAAAAUGGUUUUGGUAUUAUUUCAACAAAGUUUAUUAUUAUUAUUAUUAUUAUUGUUAUUAUUAUUAUUAUUAUUAUUAUUAUUAUUGUUGUUGUUGUUGUAAUUAUUAUCAUUAUUAUUAUUAUUGUUGUUAGUCCAUAAACUGAAUCAAGCUAAUCGUCCCACAUUUUUGUCUUUUGCAGUUAAGGAUUGUGAUUGUAUUACAGUUUGGAUAUCUGUUUGGGUUUUUUAAAAAUUAAUUUUUUUAAUUUUUAUUAAUUAAUUAUUAAUUACUCUUUGAAAUAUUUAUGUCCUUAUUAUUCUGAAAGUGAAUUUCUUGUUAAAUUGAGUUGUUCAUGUCUGUUUUUAUUUCAUGGUUUUCAUUAUAAUUUCUGCUUUACCAGCCAUCAUUUCUACCAAAGUGAGCUGUAUUUUUCUUUUUUCUUUAUGAAGGUUUGUUAAAUUUCAUACUAGUUUCUUGCACAUUUGUCUCCUCAUGGUUUUCGGACUUUUGGAUUUGUUUCUCAUUUGCUUCUUGGACUUUCUUAAGCCCUGAAUUUCUACAUUAACCUCAAAAAAGGGCUUGCUUUUUGCUAGUAAGUCUGCCAUCUGUGUCCUGCUUUUGGGUCCUAACCUUUGCACACCACGCGACCUAACAAACCAAUGUUUUCAUGCAGUUUAGAACACUGAAUAUUUUCACAUUUUUUUCUAAUUUUCCAGCACAUUAGACCUUACAGUGUCUUCCUACACCAGCACUAGAAGUCUCUGAAGUCAAAGAUAUGAUAAAUAGAAUAGAAAAUUUAUAUUUAUAUAAAUGUAUCUUUGUAGUACAGUCAAUUUCAUUGACAAAUUGCAUUUGUACCUAAAGCUUCUCCAAAGCACAUCUCAACACAUUAUUGUGUAGGCUGUGAUUGGUUGUUCGUCACUUUCACAGAGCUGAGCAGUGGAGCAUAAUGUCAGCAGUCUCCUUAUCAUUGGAGGAAAGUCAUAUCUAGAUGCUUUUCCCUUUCUACUGGGAAGAAAAUGGCAGAAAGCAGAAAGUCUUGUGAGAGUGAAGAAGGUAACCUGGUUUUGAUCAACAGUUAACAGAGAACAAGUACAAUAGGAACUGUUAAAGAAAGAGUUACAUCAACAAAUCGUACAUUUGUAAUGUUGCUAAAACAUGAAUUCAAGUCAUGUAUUUCACCAGAUCUCAGAAGAAAAUACAUCUACUUCACUAUAUUUAUUUGACAGCAAAUGUUACAAAUUCACAUUUUGCACAUAAACAACAGUCAUCAAAUGAUGUGAUGUUGUGUUCUACUGAAACACUUAUUGGAUUGCUCAGUAUGUCAGAAAAUUGGCAACUAUUUGGAUUUGAA